AUCGGAAAAGGGUGAUGUGGCCGCCGACGGCUAGGCCCAGCGUCACGGCCGGGUUGAGGUGGCCGCCGGAGAUGUGCAGCCCCGCCGCGAUCAUUGCCGCCACCACCAACCCAUGCGCUAGCGCCACUGCCGUCAGCCCCAUGAUCGUGUCUGUUCCCCCCGCCAUUUUUCCUGUAUCCUCAUGUAUCGUCUUGAAUGAAUACACAAAUUAUAUUGAAAAUAGUCUUUAAUUUUGAUCGUGCAAGUAUUAUUAUUUUUUUCAAGUUAAAAUAUUCAGAAUUUAUCUCAAUUAUUGACCAUUUUGAAUAUAAAUUAUAUAAUUUUGUAAAAGUUUUAAUUUUACUAUAUAAUCUUUCAAUUUGCUUGGAAUGAGCCAAUAAACAAUGAUUUAACUUCAAAUUUAAGCUAAUUACCGAUUUUAAUGAAUUUCUAGUUGCGAUAAUUAUGUGAAAUAUAUACGUUAAUUAAAUAUGUGAAAAUAAAUAAUACAUUCAACUUUUAAAGUCAAAAUAAUGUUGACUAACUCAAAUCAAAUAAAUUGAAAGAUUAGAUAGUCAAAUAAAAGGCAGUCCAUAGUUCGAAUAAAUUCUAUAUAUUUACUCCUUAAAAAAAUUAUUUAAUAUUAUUAUUUAAUAUGGUAUUAAAAUAUUUUCAUGCUAAAUGCGAAAAUAUGUGGGUCACACAGUGUUCCCUUUAAAUUUUCUUCUAUUUUGAAGAAUGCCAUUUUGUGAGAUUUGAACUAACGAUCACACACAACUCGAGAUGAUUAGUGUUAAAGUAUAUGAAACUGCUGUUAUACUUUAAAAACUACUCAAGCUAUUAGAAAAUAGUAUUUUUAAUAUUUUUAUUCAACACUCUAUCUCCCCCUCACGUUUGAACUCGAAAUAUUUUAAUACGCUCAAAAUAUGGACUUAAAUUAAAUAAAAGAAAAUCAAUUGUAUUAGAAGCUUGAUAUAUAUGAGGACCUUUUGUUCUGAUACUUUAUUAAAUUGUUUGAAUUUACAAUGUAAUGAACGAUGCAGGAAAAAAGUCAUGAAUUAUCCGCCACAUACCAGCGGCCAUGGCGGCGGCGACACCGGCGAAGACGAAGAGGAAGGUGAGGAUCACCUCGG
RNAcentral lists this long non-coding RNA (1112 nucleotides) under Ananas comosus (pineapple). RNAcentral's name for it is "long non-coding RNA (ACOM_LNC016255)". Lineage: Eukaryota; Viridiplantae; Streptophyta; Magnoliopsida; Poales; Bromeliaceae. The record is from RNAcentral.